This 256-nucleotide ribosomal RNA is filed under the name uncultured bacterium. RNAcentral's name for it is "partial 16S ribosomal RNA". It matches the Rfam family "Bacterial small subunit ribosomal RNA", at positions 524 to 777 of the family's 1533-position model. The record is from RNAcentral.
UACGGAGGGGGCUAGCGUUGUUCGGAAUUACUGGGCGUAAAGCGCACGUAGGCGGCUUUGUAAGUUAGAGGUGAAAGCCCGGGGCUCAACUCCGGAAUUGCCUUUAAGACUGCAUCGCUAGAAUUGUGGAGAGGUAAGUGGAAUUCCGAGUGUAGAGGUGAAAUUCGUAGAUAUUCGGAAGAACACCAGUGGCGAAGGCGACUAACUGGUCCGGAUCUGACGCUGAGGUGCGAAAAGCGUGGGGGAGCAAACAGGG